UACGUAGGGUGCGAGCGUUAAUCGGAAUUACUGGGCGUAAAGCGUGCGCAGGCGGUUCGUGAUGUCUGAUGUGAAAGCCCCGGGCUCAACCUGGGAGUUGCAUUGGAAACUAGCGGGCUGGAGUGUGGCAGAGGGGGGUGGAAUUCCACGUGUAGCAGUGAAAUGCGUAGAGAUGUGGAGGAACACCGAUGGCGAAGGCAGCCCCCUGGGCUAACACUGACGCUCAUGCACGAAAGCGUGGGGAGCAAACAGG
RNAcentral lists this ribosomal RNA (253 nucleotides) under uncultured bacterium. Its description in RNAcentral is "partial 16S ribosomal RNA". It matches the Rfam family "Bacterial small subunit ribosomal RNA", at positions 524 to 776 of the family's 1533-position model. The record is from RNAcentral.